AAGAGUAAUUAAAAAUAAAAUAAAGCUGCUAACUUUGUUUUGAGCAUCUUAAACUGUUCUACUCUUU
RNAcentral lists this transfer RNA (67 nucleotides) under Cirrothauma murrayi. Its description in RNAcentral is "tRNA-Ser". The record is from RNAcentral. Lineage: Eukaryota; Metazoa; Mollusca; Cephalopoda; Octopoda; Cirroteuthidae.